UUGAGCCGUAUGAUGGGAAACUAUCAUGUACGGUUCUUAGGGGGGAAAGCGCCCGUAAGGGUGCCGACCUACCCGAU
RNAcentral lists this non-coding RNA (77 nucleotides) under Butyricimonas faecihominis. Lineage: Bacteria; Pseudomonadati; Bacteroidota; Bacteroidia; Bacteroidales; Odoribacteraceae. The record is from RNAcentral.